AAUUAAAUUAUUUAUAAUAUUUAUAUCGUACUUUUUAGAUUACCUGCUACAAACUCACGGAACUCGCAACUCGCAACUGGCUCGUGAUGUUGAUUUGGCUAUACCAGACAGCAUUAAGUUGUCACAAAUCAUGAUGGUAGUAAAUGGCUGUGCUUAUCAAAUAUUUUGGUUUUAGAGAAAAUUACUCGGAUAGCCGUAAUUAUUAUCGUAAACACCCGCUGUCUACAAUACAGGCUGGGAGCUGGCAGUAGUUGGAGACCGAUCAAAUGGGUGCAUUUAGUGCAAAUAGCAAUGAAAUAUGUCAGGCACGAUAACGUAUGCAUAUAUUUUAUAUAACAAAAAUUUAUCAGUCAAUUCAAGGUAGCAAGCCUACGUCAUUUUGACGUCCCAAAAUGGUCAUAUCUGAUCAUAU
Long non-coding RNA from Monomorium pharaonis (pharaoh ant), 412 nucleotides. RefSeq lists it as uncharacterized. NCBI's taxonomy places the organism in Eukaryota, Metazoa, Arthropoda, Insecta, Hymenoptera, Formicidae. The record is from RefSeq and is a predicted model, not a curated record. The transcript has 3 exons.